RNAcentral lists this ribosomal RNA (569 nucleotides) under uncultured archaeon. Its description in RNAcentral is "bacterial SSU rRNA". It matches the Rfam family "Archaeal small subunit ribosomal RNA", at positions 326 to 901 of the family's 1478-position model. The record is from RNAcentral.
CGGGGUGCACCAGGCGCGAAAACUUUACAAUGCCGGCAACGGCGAUAAGGGGACCUCGAGUGCCAGGUUACAAAUCUGGCUGUCGAGAUGCCUAAAAAGCAUUUCAUAGCAAGGGCCGGGCAAGACCGGUGCCAGCCGCCGCGGUAACACCGGCGGCUCGAGUGGUAACCGUUAUUAUUGGGUCUAAAGGGUCUGUAGCCGGCCGGAUAAGUCUCUUGGGAAAUCCAGCAGCUCAACUGUUGGGCUUUCAGGAGAUACUGUCUGGCUCGAGGCCGGGAGAGGUGAGAGGUACUUCAGGGGUAGGGGUGAAAUCUUGUAAUCCUUGAAGGACCACCAGUGGCGAAGGCGUCUCACCAGAACGGACCUGACGGCAAGGGACGAAAGCUAGGGGCACGAACCGGAUUAGAUACCCGGGUAGUCCUAGCCGUAAACGAUACUCGCUAGGUGUCGGCCACGGUGCGACCGUUGUCGGUGCCGUAGGGAAGCCGUGAAGCGAGCCACCUGGGAAGUACGGCCGCAAGGCUGAAACUUAAAGGAAUUGGCGGGGGAGCACAAGGGCGAAUCGCGGC